This is a non-coding RNA of Gymnopus androsaceus JB14, 85 nucleotides long. The record is from the annotation of a GenBank genome assembly. Lineage: Eukaryota; Fungi; Basidiomycota; Agaricomycetes; Agaricales; Omphalotaceae.
GGUCUAAUAAUGUAGAGGUUAGCACACGGGAUUUUGAUGUGUCAGUCCUUUUCCCGUAACCCAGGUUCGAGUUCUGGUUAGACCU